RNAcentral lists this ribosomal RNA (788 nucleotides) under uncultured bacterium. RNAcentral describes it as "bacterial SSU rRNA". It matches the Rfam family "Bacterial small subunit ribosomal RNA", at positions 8 to 798 of the family's 1533-position model. The record is from RNAcentral.
AGAGUUUGAUCCUGGCUCAGGAUGAACGCUAGCGGCAGGCUUAACACAUGCAAGUCGAGGGGUAAAUAUAGUAAUAUAUGAGACCGGCAAACGGGUGCGGAACGCGUACGCAAUCUACCCUUAUCUGGGGCAUAGCCCGAAGAAAUUCGGAUUAAUACCUCAUAGGAUAGUGGAAGGGCAUCCUUCAGCUAUUAAAGAUUCAUCGGAUAAGGAUGAGCGUGCGUCCCAUUAGCUAGUUGGUAGGGUAACGGCCUACCAAGGCGACGAUGGGUAGCUGGUGUGAGAGCACGACCAGCCACACGGGCACUGAGACACGGGCCCGACUCCUACGGGAGGCAGCAGCGAGGAAUAUUGGUCAAUGGACGCAAGUCUGAACCAGCCAUGCCGCGUGAAGGAUGAAGGCCUUCUGGGUUGUAAACUUCUUUUAUGUGGGAAGAAACCUCUGAUUUCUAUUAGAGUUGACGGUACCAUAGGAAUAAGCACCGGCUAACUCCGUGCCAGCAGCCGCGGUAAUACGGAGGGUGCAAGCGUUAUCCGGAUUUACUGGGUUUAAAGGGUGUGUAGGCGGGCCUUUAAGUCAGUGGUGAAAUCUCCGAGCUUAACUUGGAAACUGCCAUUGAUACUAUUGGUCUUGAAUGUUGUUGAGGUGGGCGGAAUAAGUCAUGUAGCGGUGAAAUGCAUAGAUAUGACUUAGAACACCAAUUGCGAAGGCAGCUCACUAAACAAUGAUUGACGCUGAGGCACGAAAGCGUGGGGAUCAAACAGGAUUAGAUACCCUGGUAGUCCAA